AGCCCAAUGAAAUUAUAUUAGGUAAUACCUGCCCAAUGAUUAUCUUAUAUUAAAUGGCCGCGGUACUUUUGACCGUGCUAAGGUAGCAUAAUAAAUUGACUUUUAAUUGAAGCCUGGAAUGAAGGGGAAAACGGGAAUGAGCUGUCUCUAUAUUUAUAUUAUGAAUUUACUAAUUAGGUGAAAAGGCCUAAAAUUGAUAAAAGACGAGAAGACCCUUAGAGUUUUUAUAUUUAUAUUUUCGUUGGGGCGGCGUAGAGUCAGUUUAUAUAAAAAAUUUUUUUUAUUUUUAGAACACUCUUAGAUAAAAUAUUUCAGAUUUAACAAAAAAAGAUAAACUACCUAAGGGAUAACAGCAUAAUCUUAUUUAUAGGUUUGUGACCUCGAUGUUGGACUAGGGAAUUUUUAGAUUAGACGUUUAAAAAAAUAAUUCUGUUCGAAUUUUUAUACCCCU
Molecule: ribosomal RNA, 451 nt
Filed under: Retusophiline sp. 1 DS-2020
Lineage: Eukaryota; Metazoa; Mollusca; Gastropoda; Cephalaspidea; Philinidae
Description: partial 16S large subunit ribosomal RNA
Rfam family: Bacterial large subunit ribosomal RNA
Source: RNAcentral